Non-coding RNA from Labeo rohita (rohu), 500 nucleotides. Lineage: Eukaryota; Metazoa; Chordata; Actinopteri; Cypriniformes; Cyprinidae. The record is from the annotation of a RefSeq genome assembly.
UUGCAUAUUGAUCAGAUGCUUCAGUGCUCUGAGAGUGUUUAUAGUGCUGUGAGUUUAACACUUCAUCACUGACACACACAACAAUCUUCAUCAACAUGACCUUCAUCAUCAUCUUCAUCUGGACUCUCACAGCGUUUACUCAAGAGUGUAGAGGACAGAUCACCGUCACUCAGAGUCCCUCAAUGACAGCAGCUCAACCAGGACAAACAGUCAAAAUCAACUGUAAAACAAGCAGAGAUGUGUACAAUGAUGGUUCUGAUGAUUUGUUAGCCUGGUACUUACAGAAACCUGGAGAAGCUCCUACACUACUAAUUUAUUGGGCUAACCGCCUCGAGUCUGGAACUCCAUCUAGAUUCAGUGGCAGUGGAUCUGGAACUGAUUUCACUCUGACCAUCAGUGGAGUCCAGACUGAAGAUGCUGGACAUUAUUACUGUACGAGUUACUAUUGCAGAACUAAUUCUUAUGAUGUUUGUAAGGGUGAUUCAAUGUUCACACAGUGA